UACGUAGGGGGCUAGCGUUGUCCGGAUUUAUUGGGCGUAAAGAGCGUGUAGGCGGCUAUGCAGGUCCGCUGUGAAAACUCGAGGCUCAACCUCGAGACGUCGGUGGAAACCGCAUGGCUAGAGUCCGGAAGAGGAGAGUGGAAUUCCCGGUGUAGCGGUGAAAUGCGCAGAUAUCGGGAAGAACACCAAAGGCGAAGGCAGUGUCCUGGGUGGUCGCUGACGCUGAGAGGCGAAAGCCAGGGGAGCGAACGGG
Molecule: ribosomal RNA, 253 nt
Filed under: uncultured bacterium
Lineage: Bacteria
Description: partial 16S ribosomal RNA
Rfam family: Bacterial small subunit ribosomal RNA
Source: RNAcentral